GGGUUGUGAGGUUAAGCGACUAAGCGUACACGGUGGAUGCCCUGGCAGUCAGAGGCGAUGAAGGGCGUGCUAAUCUGCGAUAAGCGCCGGUAAGGUGAUAUGAACCGUUAUAACCGGCGAUACCCGAAUGGGGAAACCCAGUGUGAUUCGUCACACUAUCAUUAACUGAAUCCAUAGGUUAAUGAGGCGAACCGGGGGAACUGAAACAUCUAAGUACCCCGAGGAAAAGAAAUCAACCGAGAUUCCCCCAGUAGCGGCGAGCGAACGGGGAGGAGCCCAGAGCCUGAAUCAGCAUGUGUGUUAGUGGAAGCGUCUGGAAAGGCGCGCGAUACAGGGUGACAGCCCCGUACACAAAAGCGCAUGUGUUGUGAGCUCGAUGAGUAGGGCGGGACACGUGGUAUCCUGUCUGAAUAUGGGGGGACCAUCCUCCAAGGCUAAAUACUCCUGACUGACCGAUAGUGAACCAGUACCGUGAGGGAAAGGCGAAAAGAACCCCGGCGAGGGGAGUGAAAAAGAACCUGAAACCGUGUACGUACAAGCAGUGGGAGCACCCUUUGGGGUGUGACUGCGUACCUUUUGUAUAAUGGGUCAGCGACUUAUAUUCUGUAGCAAGGUUAACCGAAUAGGGGAGCCGGAGGGAAACCGAGUCUUAAUUGGGCGUUAAGUUGCAGGGUAUAGACCCGAAACCCGGUGAUCUAGCCAUGGGCAGGUUGAAGGUUGGGUAACACUAACUGGAGGACCGAACCGACUAAUGUUGAAAAAUUAGCGGAUGACCUGUGGCUGGGGGUGAAAGGCCAAUCAAACCGGGAGAUAGCUGGUUCUCCCCGAAAGCUAUUUAGGUAGCGCCUCGUGAAUUCAUCUCCGGGGGUAGAGCACUGUUUCGGCUAGGGGGCCAUCCCGGCUUACCAACCCGAUGCAAACUGCGAAUACCGGAGAAUGUUAUCACGGGAGACACACGGCGGGUGCUAACGUCCGUCGUGAAGAGGGAAACAACCCAGACCGCCAGCUAAGGUCCCAAAGUCAUGGUUAAGUGGGAAACGAUGUGGGAAGGCCCAGACAGCCAGGAUGUUGGCUUAGAAGCAGCCAUCAUUUAAAGAAAGCGUAAUAGCUCACUGGUCGAGUCGGCCUGCGCGGAAGAUGUAACGGGGCUAAACCAUGCACCGAAGCUGCGGCAGCGA
RNAcentral lists this ribosomal RNA (1178 nucleotides) under Salmonella enterica. Its description in RNAcentral is "bacterial LSU rRNA". It matches the Rfam family "Bacterial large subunit ribosomal RNA", at positions 1 to 1211 of the family's 2925-position model. Lineage: Bacteria; Pseudomonadati; Pseudomonadota; Gammaproteobacteria; Enterobacterales; Enterobacteriaceae. The record is from RNAcentral. RNAcentral also lists the same sequence under 1 other name.